GGCGAACGGGUGAGUAAUACAUCGGAACGUGCCCAGUCGUGGGGGAUAACUACUCGAAAGAGUAGCUAAUACCGCAUACGAUCUGAGGAUGAAAGCGGGGGACCUUCGGGCCUCGCGCGAUUGGAGCGGCCGAUGGCAGAUUAGGUAGUUGGUGGGAUAAAAGCUUACCAAGCCGACGAUCUGUAGCUGGUCUGAGAGGACGACCAGCCACACUGGGACUGAGACACGGCCCAGACUCCUACGGGAGGCAGCAGUGGGGAAUUUUGGACAAUGGGCGAAAGCCUGAUCCAGCAAUGCCGCGUGCAGGAUGAAGGCCUUCGGGUUGUAAACUGCUUU
This 336-nucleotide ribosomal RNA is filed under the name uncultured Gammaproteobacteria bacterium. RNAcentral's name for it is "bacterial SSU rRNA". It matches the Rfam family "Bacterial small subunit ribosomal RNA", at positions 97 to 436 of the family's 1533-position model. The record is from RNAcentral. Lineage: Bacteria; Pseudomonadati; Pseudomonadota; Gammaproteobacteria.